GACGAACGCUGGCGGCGUGCCUAAUACAUGCAAGUUGAGCGCUGAAGGUUGGUACUUGUACCAACUGGAUGAGCAGCGAACGGGUGAGUAACGCGUGGGGAAUCUGCCUUUGAGCGGGGGACAACAUUUGGAAACGAAUGCUAAUACCGCAUAAAAACUUUAAACACAAGUUUUAAGUUUGAAAGAUGCAAUUGCAUCACUCAAAGAUGAUCCCGCGUUGUAUUAGCUAGUUGGGGAGGGAAAGGCUCACCAAGGCGAUGAUACAUAGCCGACCUGAGAGGGUGGUCGGCCACAUUGGGACUGAGACACGGCCCAAACUCCUACGGGAGGCAGCAGGAGGGAAACUUCGGCAAUGGACGAAAGUCUGACCGAGCAACGCCGCGGGAGGGAAGAAGGGUUUCGGAUCGUAAAACUCGGUUGGUAGAGAAGAACGUUGGUGAGAGUGGAAAGCUCAUCAAGUGACGGUAACUACACAGAAAGGGACGGCUAACUACGUG
Molecule: ribosomal RNA, 497 nt
Filed under: uncultured bacterium
Lineage: Bacteria
Description: partial 16S ribosomal RNA
Rfam family: Bacterial small subunit ribosomal RNA
Source: RNAcentral